UACAGAGGGGGCAAGCGUUGUUCGGAAUUACUGGGCGUAAAGGGCGCGUAGGCGGCCGCCUAAGUCAGACGUGAAAUCCCUCGGCUCAACCGGGGAACUGCGUCUGAUACUGGGUGGCUUGAAUCCGGGAGAGGGAUGCGGAAUUCCAGGUGUAGUGGUGAAAUGCGUAGAUAUCUGGAGGAACACCGGUGGCGAAGGCGGCAUCCUGGACCGGCAUUGACGCUGAGGCGCGAAAGCCAGGGGAGCAAAGCGGG
RNAcentral lists this ribosomal RNA (254 nucleotides) under uncultured bacterium. Its description in RNAcentral is "partial 16S ribosomal RNA". It matches the Rfam family "Bacterial small subunit ribosomal RNA", at positions 524 to 777 of the family's 1533-position model. The record is from RNAcentral.